CAAGGAAGGAUUUCCUGAGCACGUGUUGCCUGUGAACUGCCCCACAGGGUGCCUGGCACUGCUGGCCUUCUGCAGUGAUCUGUGAUGCCAAACCUCUUAGUGGUGAUCAAAGCAAGUGGUUUGGACCCUUCCAAAGACCACACUCUUCAGUUCGUGGUAAGGAUUAUUCUGAACAAAAACAACAACAACCAAUCCAAAAACCAGCAAAUAGAAACCACCAAAAAAAAAAAAAAAAAGAAGCAAAAAAACCUUUUUCUUGGAUUUUAAAAACCAAUUCAAAACUAUUUAUUACUAUUAUUUUCCCCCAGCCUAGAGGCUCCUGCCCCUCUCAGCAUGCCUGGAUCCCUAAGAUCAGUGAGGUUUCCAGACUUCCUCCCUCUUUUUGUCCUGCACGAGAGCGCUUUGCUAGGCGCGCAAGUGUGCGUGUGAGGAGCGGAGAGCAGCGCCGGGAGGGAGAUUGGGACAAUAGCUGGAGUGGAUUAUUCAUUCCCGUAGGGCAAUACUUCCCUGUAUGGGCUCCAGGAUGCAGUUGGAAGCUUGGGAACAAAGCGGGCAUCGAAUGUCAAGGGUCCUUUUGA
Molecule: long non-coding RNA, 578 nt
Filed under: Geospiza fortis (medium ground-finch)
Lineage: Eukaryota; Metazoa; Chordata; Aves; Passeriformes; Thraupidae
Description: lncRNA (ENSGFOG00000005709.1)
Source: RNAcentral